UACGAAGGGGGCUAGCGUUGUUCGGAUUUACUGGGCGUAAAGCGCACGUAGGCGGAUCGUUAAGUCAGGGGUGAAAUCCUGGAGCUCAACUCCAGAACUGCCUUUGAUACUGGCGAUCUAGAGUCCGGAAGAGGUGAGUGGAACUCCUAGUGUAGAGGUGGAAUUCGUAGAUAUUAGGAAGAACACCAGUGGCGAAGGCGGCUCACUGGUCCGGUACUGACGCUGAGGUGCGAAAGCGUGGGGAGCAAACAGG
This 253-nucleotide ribosomal RNA is filed under the name uncultured bacterium. RNAcentral's name for it is "partial 16S ribosomal RNA". It matches the Rfam family "Bacterial small subunit ribosomal RNA", at positions 524 to 776 of the family's 1533-position model. The record is from RNAcentral.